RNAcentral lists this non-coding RNA (285 nucleotides) under Callithrix jacchus (white-tufted-ear marmoset). RNAcentral describes it as "HIF-1 alpha IRES". It matches the Rfam family "HIF-1 alpha IRES". Rfam says of the family: This family represents the hypoxia-inducible factor 1-alpha internal ribosome entry site. Lineage: Eukaryota; Metazoa; Chordata; Mammalia; Primates; Cebidae. The record is from Rfam by way of RNAcentral.
CUCGUCUGAGGGGACGCGAGGAUCACCCUCGUCGUCGCUUCGGCCACUGCGUCGGGCUGGGCCCUGACAAGCCGCCCGAGGAAAGAGGCUCGGAGUCUGGCCCGGACCCCGGCGAUUGCCGCCCACUUCUCUUCCUUCUGGUCUCACGAGCGGUUUCCCGCCUCGCACCUCCACCUCUGGACUUGCCUUUCCUUCUCUCUCCGCGUGUGGAGGGAGCCAGCGCUUAGGCCGGAGAGAGCCGGGGGGCUGCCCGCCGUGAAGGCACGCGGGGACCGAUUCACCAUG